GAGGGUGUAGCUCAAGUGGUAGAGUGCAUGCUUAGCAUGCAGGAGGUCCUGGGUUCAAUCCCCAGUACCUCCU
Camelus ferus (Wild Bactrian camel) is the source of this 73-nucleotide transfer RNA. It matches the Rfam family "tRNA". From Rfam's summary of the family: Transfer RNA (tRNA) molecules are approximately 80 nucleotides in length. Their secondary structure includes four short double-helical elements and three loops (D, anti-codon, and T loops). Further hydrogen bonds mediate the characteristic L-shaped molecular structure. tRNAs have two regions of fundamental functional importance: the anti-codon, which is responsible for specific mRNA codon recognition, and the 3' end, to which the tRNAs corresponding amino acid is attached (by aminoacyl-tRNA synthetases). tRNAs cope with the degeneracy of the genetic code in two manners: having more than one tRNA (with a specific anti-codon) for a particular amino acid; and 'wobble' base-pairing, i.e. permitting non-standard base-pairing at the 3rd anti-codon position. The record is from Rfam. Lineage: Eukaryota; Metazoa; Chordata; Mammalia; Artiodactyla; Camelidae.